GCCUGGGUGGCUCAGUCGGUUGGGCAUCCGACUUCAGCUCAGGUCACGAUCUCGCGGUCCGUGGGUUCGAGCCCCGCGUCAGGCU
RNAcentral lists this transfer RNA (85 nucleotides) under Felis catus (domestic cat). It matches the Rfam family "tRNA". Rfam says of the family: Transfer RNA (tRNA) molecules are approximately 80 nucleotides in length. Their secondary structure includes four short double-helical elements and three loops (D, anti-codon, and T loops). Lineage: Eukaryota; Metazoa; Chordata; Mammalia; Carnivora; Felidae. The record is from Rfam by way of RNAcentral.